This 193-nucleotide ribosomal RNA is filed under the name uncultured bacterium. Its description in RNAcentral is "partial 16S ribosomal RNA". It matches the Rfam family "Bacterial small subunit ribosomal RNA", at positions 338 to 524 of the family's 1533-position model. The record is from RNAcentral.
CCUACGNGAGGCAGCAGUGGGGAAUAUUGGACAAUGGGCGAAAGCCUGAUCCAGCGACGCCGCGUGGGUGANUAAGGCCUUCGGGUUGUAAAGCCCUUUAAGCCGGGACGAAGAAAUCGGCGAUAACAUCGCCGGUCUUGACGGUACCGGAAGAAUAAGCACCGGCUAACUCUGUGCCAGCAGCCGCGGUAAU